UGUAGAAGUUCGGACGGAGUCUGAUUCUUGCAGAAGUCUAGAAGGAGGCCGCUUACUGUAGAAGCUCAGAUGGAGAUCGAUUAUCGUGGAAGCCCAGAUGGAGACCACUUAUUGUAGAAGCUCGGAUGGAGAUCGGUUGCCAUGGAAGCUCGGCUGAAGUCCGCUUGCAAUAGAAGUUUGGAUGGAAUUCGCUUACUGUAGAAGCUCGGAUGAAAUUCAGAAGGCAGUCGACCACUGUAGAAACUUGGAUGGAGUCUGGUUACUGUAGAAGUCCUAUUGCUGGAGAAGCCCGAACAUUGACGAAGUCUGAAAGAAGCUCAGAGUAAAGUCGAUCGUGACGGGAGGA
Molecule: long non-coding RNA, 346 nt
Filed under: Elaeis guineensis (African oil palm)
Lineage: Eukaryota; Viridiplantae; Streptophyta; Magnoliopsida; Arecales; Arecaceae
Description: long non-coding RNA (EGUI_LNC001068)
Source: RNAcentral